UCACGAAUCUCCUACACACCCUGUCUCCAGGGCCAAUGUCCCCUCAGAACACAGACCCUCUCCUCCGCCCCCACCCACUCACUGAAGGGCCGUGAGCAGCUUGGCAGACUGUCCCUCAGUGUCACAGUACAAAAACCUCGGGCGUAGUGGUACAGGCAGGAGAAUCUUGCAUGUAGCAGCUUCUCAAUAAGUAUUUAUUGAUUUGUGAUGCAGUAAAGGUCUUAGCUCACCAUUUUCCUCUGGAGUUAGUCUGGGUCCUUCUAUUCCUUCUGCUUCCUAUUCUCCUCCUUGUCCUUGCCCAUACCAGGUAUUGGUUCACAUUCCUUGAACGCUGGGUUUUACACUCUCAUGUUGAGCUAAGAACUGGGGCCUUUUGGUUACACAAACUUGCCAGAAAAAAAAAAAAAAAAGGAACUGGGGGCUCCUGGCCAUAAGCCAGGUUCGUCAUUCUGUAUUCCAUUUGUCCUCUUGAACUCGAAGACCAACUCGAGCCGCUUAAAAUGUCCACUUCUUUAAGGCAGGGGCUGGGGGGUGGGGACGGGCUGCUAAUUCUCAUCAAUGAAAGGUCCAAAUAGAACAAAAAUUAGAUGGCUAAGAACCAGGAACAAGAAGAUUCCAGGUCCUGGGGUGGGUAUGCCAGGGACCCAUCCUGCUGGAAAGGCCGAUCCUGGCAGACCUAGAGCAGACCCUGUCUAUGCGACCCUCGAUCUGAGAGCCUCCUUCCAACAGAACCAGGGCCUGGGCUGGGGCAUCCACAGAGGCUGGUCAUAAACUAUACCUCCAGCCCCACCCUGCACACCAGCCGGGAGGGGAAGCUGCUAUAGCGCACGGUGAAGCUG
RNAcentral lists this long non-coding RNA (839 nucleotides) under Homo sapiens (human). Its description in RNAcentral is "non-protein coding lnc-UPK2-1:1". Lineage: Eukaryota; Metazoa; Chordata; Mammalia; Primates; Hominidae. The record is from RNAcentral.